GCCAUGCGGGGCGGGGCCCGAGGCCGGGCCGUGCUGAAAGGAACUGGCGCCCAGCGCAGGCCUCAGGGACCCGCCUAGCUGCCCGCGGGCCGAUCGGCUGCUGAAGCACCCUUCCCGCCUGGCCACGCGCGUGGCCUUAUCGGCCGCGGCCCCAGACGUGUAGAGGAAGGCAGGGCCCCCGGAGAGAGAAAGAAGGGGAAGCCUUCACAGAGCAGGCCGGCCGCGGCAGGGGUAGUUUGAUCUGCACGUUUACCAGGGAGCUUUAGCUCCCGCCAGAUGUGUCUCUUCCGGGCCCAGAGCCGGCCACUUCCUCGAGGGAAGAUUCUGAAGACUUUUGGAUGGUUCUGUGCAAGCGCUCCUGCCGUAGAAGUCCUUUAAAGUGACCUUUCCUAAUGAAUGGUGUGUGGGCAGGGAGCUAGGAGCGUGUUUCUUCCAACAGGGACCUCCAUUUGAAUAACUGAUUUCUAGAAGAUGAGAUUGGAGUAGUUUCCGUGUUUCAUGUUCAAGUUGCAGUUUUUGCAUCUGGGAAGCAGUUUCAGCUAGUGGAAACCACUAGAAGCUGUUCAGCCACUAGAAAUUUGGGAGAGGAUGUAUUGGUGGAGCCACGUGGAUUAACUGUCCGCUAAAGCUUGAUUGUUAUAGCAGCGGUCAGCAAAAAAGGAAAGUUUUGGUUUUGCUGGUUCUCCCCCUCCCCGUCUUUUUGGGUGAGCUUGUCGGCCACAGACUGCUACAUUGUGCAUGAGAUCUACAAUGGGGAGAAUGCCCAAGACCAGUUUGAGUACGAGCUGGAGCAGGCCCUGGAAGCCCAGUACAAGUACAUUGUGAUUGAGCCCACUCGCAUUGGCGACGAGACAGCCCGCUGGAUCACCGUGGGCAACUGCCUGCACAAGACGGCCGUGCUGGCGGGCACCGCCUGCCUCUUCACCCCGUUGGCGCUGCCCUUAGAUUAUUCCCACUACAUUUCCC
Molecule: small RNA, 966 nt
Filed under: Pan troglodytes (chimpanzee)
Lineage: Eukaryota; Metazoa; Chordata; Mammalia; Primates; Hominidae
Description: processed transcript
Source: RNAcentral